GUCUAUGGCUAUACCACCCUGAACGUGCUCCAUCUCAUCUAAUCUCGGAAGCUAAGCAGGGUCGGGCCUAGUUAGUACUUGGAUGGGAGAAGUUCUUCUGAUUACAGGAAAUUUCAAAUAUAUACU
Ribosomal RNA from Vulpes vulpes (red fox), 126 nucleotides. Lineage: Eukaryota; Metazoa; Chordata; Mammalia; Carnivora; Canidae. The record is from Ensembl.